Molecule: ribosomal RNA, 478 nt
Filed under: uncultured bacterium
Lineage: Bacteria
Description: partial 16S ribosomal RNA
Rfam family: Bacterial small subunit ribosomal RNA
Source: RNAcentral
GACGAACGCUGGCGGCGUGCUUAACACAUGCAAGUCGAACGGUAAGGCCCUUCGGGGUACACGAGUGGCGAACGGGUGAGUAACACGUGAGUGAUCUGCCCUGCACUUCGGGAUAAGCCUGGGAAACUGGGUCUAAUACCGGAUAGGACCACUGCCUACAUGGGUGGUGGUGGAAAGCUUUUGCGGUGUGGGAUGGGCCCGCGGCCUAUCAGCUUGUUGGUGGGGUGAUGGCCUACCAAGGCGACGACGGGUAGCCGGCCUGAGAGGGUGACCGGCCACACUGGGACUGAGAUACGGCCCAGACUCCUACGGGAGGCAGCAGUGGGGAAUAUUGCACAAUGGGCGCAAGCCUGAUGCAGCGACGCCGCGUGAGGGAUGACGGCCUUCGGGUUGUAAACCUCUUUCAGCACCGACGAAGCGCAAGUGACGGUAGGUGCAGAAGAAGGACCGGCCAACUACGUGCCAGCAGCCGCAGUAA